This 502-nucleotide ribosomal RNA is filed under the name uncultured bacterium. RNAcentral's name for it is "partial 16S ribosomal RNA". It matches the Rfam family "Bacterial small subunit ribosomal RNA", at positions 30 to 523 of the family's 1533-position model. The record is from RNAcentral.
AUUGAACGCUGGCGGAAUCCUUUACACAUGCAAGUCGAACGGCAGCAUAGGUGCUUGCACCUGAUGGCGAGUGGCGAACGGGGGAGUAAUACAUCGGAACGUGCCCAGUCUAGGGGGAUAACGUAGCGAAAGUUACGCUAAUACCGCAUACGAUCUACGGGUGAAAGCGGGGGACCGUAAGGCGUCGCCCGAUUGUGGAGGCGGAUGUCAGAUUAGGUAGUUGGUGGGGUAAAGGCCCACCAAGCCAACGAUCUGUAGCUGGUAUGAGAGGACGACCAGCCACACUGGGACUGAGACACGGCCCAGACUCCUACGGGAGGCAGCAGUGGGGAAUUUUGGACAAUGGGCGCAAGCCUGAUCCAGCCAUUCCGCGUGCAGGAUGAAGGCCUUCGGGUUGUAAACUGCUUUUGUACGGAACGAAAAGCUCUGGGUUAAUACCCCGGGGUCAUGACGGUACCGUAAGAAUAAGCACCGGCUAACUACGUGCCAGCCGCCGCGGUAA